CGCGGGGGGCCUACGGGAGGCAGCAGUGGGGAAUAUUGCACAAUGGGCGCAAGCCUGAUGCAGCCAUGCCGCGUGUAUGAAGAAGGCCUUCGGGUUGUAAAGUACUUUCAGCGGGGAGGAAGGGAGUAAAGUUAAUACCUUUGCUCAUUGACGUUACCCGCAGAAGAAGCACCGGCUAACUCCGUGCCAGCAGCCGCGGUAAUA
This 204-nucleotide ribosomal RNA is filed under the name uncultured Enterobacteriaceae bacterium. RNAcentral's name for it is "partial 16S ribosomal RNA". It matches the Rfam family "Bacterial small subunit ribosomal RNA", at positions 329 to 525 of the family's 1533-position model. The record is from RNAcentral. Lineage: Bacteria; Pseudomonadati; Pseudomonadota; Gammaproteobacteria; Enterobacterales; Enterobacteriaceae.